AUAAAUAAAUAAACUUUAAAAAAAGAAAGAAACUCAGAAAAAUCAUUAGACUGAGGGACAGCCAACCAAAACUGUGACUGGCUCAUGAGACAAAUAACUUCAAUAAACCACUUCCCUCUCUGGGCCUCAGCUUCUGGGCUGGAAGGGUUGGACAGGAACAAUUCUUCAUUAGGGACUCUUCUAGUGCUAACAUUCUCCAUCUGAGUCCAAGUUUGUUCCACAGUGGAUUAAAAUAAAUACAUGAGCAUACAUGUUUACACAACCCCAGAGGACUUUGAAAUUCACAUGGAAUGUCAGUGCUUACACCAGGAGGCAAAGUUGGGUUUCCUUAGAGUCGCUCAUUCAUUCUUUCAUUCCUCCAUCCAUCUAUUCAUCCGUCAAAUGUUUAUUGAGCACCACUAUGCGCAAAACAUGGUUUUAGGUGCUAGGCUUUCUUUCUAAAACCAGGAUCUGAUUAUGUCACAGCCCUGCUUAGAUACUUUCAAUGACUUCCCGUUGCCAAGUACAAACUCCAACUCACACAUACCAAGUAACUGCCCACCUGCAUGCUUUUGUUUAUGCAGUUUCCCCUCUCUGGAUUGCCCCUCCUAGUGAUCCAAAUGCUUGUGAAAUGUCCCCUGAUCUUCAAAGGUGCCAGCAAAGCUGCCUCGGUGCUGAUCCUUUCCCCAGGCUGGCAUCAUGCUCUCUCCUCUUUGCUCACACAACACUUUGUACCACCUCUGUUAUAGCACUUGUUACUUUUUACUUUAAUUCAUUGUUUGUGUGCCUUUCUCUUCUGCUGGAUUUUUAAUUCCAGGAGGCAGGAACAGUGUUUUGCUCCUUUGUAAUUUGAGCACCUAGCAUACUGUUUGGCACAGUGGAUGUAAUUAAGUCUUUGAUGAGUUUGCUUAUUGAGACUUUGGAGGUGGUUGAGAAUGGUGAUAGGAAUACUAAUGACAAUGAUAGUAACUCUCUUAUAUAAUGUAUUCCUCACAUGCCAACUCCGAGCCAAGAGCUUUAGAUCUGUGACCAAUUUAGUUUUCAUCUCUGCAACGCCCUGUGAGGUCAAUGACAGAGGACACUGUUAGGGGCACUGCAUCUCUGGAGUCAGAGAGGCCAAGGGUAUGAGGGUCACCUCCAUGAGUGCCUGGCACAGUCCUGCACUUUGGGCCCUGUGUGUGGGGGCUUCGCUAAGGAGGCAACUGGGGCUAAAUGCCCUCUGUGUUUGCCAAACUAAGCUCUCUGGAUCGGGGUUGCAUCUGCCCAGAGGAAGGGGGGCUCCUUUUUCAAAUGUGGAGAAAAGACACCUAUGGGCAGGAACUGACCUCGUCUGGUUCCAUCUCCAGUGGCCUUGCACAAGUUCCUUAAUUCAGCUUUUUGCCUUGAUUCCUCAUUUGUAGAAUGGGGUUACAGCACCCCAACCUCAGAGGGUGCUUGCUAGGAUGAGGUAGGAUAACACAUGUGAUAUGCUGGCACCUGUCUGACAUUUGUAUUCAAUAAAUGCUAGUUAUUAUCACUAUUAUUAGUGGUAAUAGCCCUAUUUUCCAACCAACAGGAUCUCGAGAGAAAAUAGUUGGCAGAGGGAAGAACAUAAUGGCAUUCCUCCAUUUAGGGGCAUCAGAAGGAACCAGGAGAGAGAAGAGUUGAAAAUGUUGGACAAGAGUGAGUUAGAAGAGAGGCUGGUCAGGUGUCAAGUGCUUUCGAGAGAUUAAGCGGGAAGAGGCAGAGAAAAAUUCCCCGGAGUUGACAGUUAGAGGUCAUUAGUGACCUUUGCAUGAAAGUAUCAGGAUAACAGCAAGAGAGGAAGCCAGAUUGCUGCAGGUUAAGGCAUCAAUGACCGAUAAGGUAGAAAUAGUAACUCUGGCCUAUUCACCAGAAAUCAGGUCGUGAAGGGUUGGAGACAUGGGUCAGUUGUCUUAGUGAGAUACAGGAUGGAUAAACAGUCCUCUCUUACAAACAUUAUCUAGGGAAAGAACCAUCCCCUUCAAAGGGCCAAAUGAAUGGGGCUUUCAAAGAACAUUGGCCCUAAGUCUAUUUGGAGAAUUUGGUAAUCUGUCCAGACUUCUGGGAUGACAAGGAGGAUGACUUGCUUCAACUACCCAGCUUCUAGGUGGGACUCUCUUUUUUUUUAAGGAGAGAGGAGGGUUCAAUGCAUUGGGGGGGGGGGGUGCAGAGGACAGUCAACAAGAUGUAGGUGCAAAGCAGAUGAGGGAAUGGAAUCAAGCCCCUGGGUUGAUGGGUCCAUCCUCUAGGGUGGUGCAGAUGGGGAAAGCAAGGGUAAAGACACAUAGACAAGUCAAGGAUGUAACAGAAGGAAGUUAAGGAACUCUCUGGAUGGCCUGUCUUUCUUGGAACAAAAAGAGGCCAAGUCCUCUGAGAAAGUGAUGAGUAUAAUGUGAAAGGCAGUGCAUCAGUCAGGAUAGAUUAAAACUGUAACAAACCAUCCCUCAGUUUUAGUGGCUUAGGAGAGGCCUCUGUUUUGUGCAGUGAUCAGGAAAUUAGUCUCCAUACGUUUUAUGGCUUUCCUCAUUUUAUGGCUCUGCAGGAUCUCUGAGUCCCGUUCUGGACCUUCUGCAUCUGCUGGCAAACACAAGACAAAAGACAGUGGAGGAUUGUGGAGAAGGCUUCAUAAGCCAUUCUUGGAAGUGUUGCACAUCGCUUUUGCCCACAUUCCAUUGACUUAACCUCAAUCAUAUGGCCACUCUUAACUGCAAGGGAGGCUGGGAAAUAUCAAAUGGUGUGCACAAUACUGUAUUGUCUGUACUCUCAGUGCCUAGCACCCUUUCUAGAAUAGGCUGGAUGCUCAGUAAGCACCACUGAAUAAAGGCAGAGAUGAACUUUAUCUCAUUUGCUUGCCAUCACUUUUCUACCUGUGCCUUGCUUGAGGUUCAAAGAUAAUAGAGACCCAAUUUCCUAAAUAUGAGCUAAAGGUUGGGCUUGUACUUGGAGUGGUUCCUCCUGUCAUGCUGAUGUGUUUCAGGGAUCCAUUCAUACUCAGCCCCAGGAUGUUUGCUACUGGGGGUUAGUCCUGAGGUAUGUGGUUAAUGAACCUAGUGGAGUGGUGCUGACUUAUUCUCAGAGAGAUAAAGAUCAGACUCUUUCUUCCAAAGCCCAGUGUUAUAGAAACUUGAGUUAAUCAGCUAGAAAAAUACAUUAACUAACCCCUGAGCUGUAAUUUCCAAUCCAAAUAUGAGCUAACCAGUCCAAGAUUUUGCUAACCAGAUUUCAGCUGAGCAAUCCAGCGCCUUUCUAAACUAGCCAGUCCCAAGAUGUGUAGACAGGUCACUAAGAUAACCAACCUCCAGUUAAGCUAACUAGUUCCAAAUCAAAGUAGUUGUCCUGAAGUUACUAUUGUCCUGAAGAGAAUAUUUAAAAGCCAGGACUGGGAUUAAUCUUCUCCAUGACCUUUAUAAUGGCCCCUUUUAUGGAUAACAUGAGCUCUAGAAAGGGAAGGAAAGCUGGUGAUCUGAGUCAUAACUUCCCUAAAGGGCAAAUAAAGGGCUCCUUAUCAAGCUGGCAAAGCUGCCUGCAAGUAGAGCAUGACAUGGAACCAUGUCGGGCAGGGAAUGCCAGGGAUAUUUUUAUAAACGACUCCAGAGAUAUCAACAAUGUGGGGCUGGCGCAGAGAUUCCCAUAUUUGCAGAUGAUAUUCCAUUAACAAGGGUGCCCGCAAAUGGGAGUGAGUGCCAACAAGCCCAAGAAGGAAGAAGGAAGCAGAGGCAGAUGGUUAUAAAACAAGUCAGUGUUUCAGACAGGGGGAGACACAAAAGUUAGGCCAACAUCUCUGAGUCAGCCAGCUGGGCUGGCUGGGUAGCUGGGUGCUGGGUCGAUGUGAAGGGGAAUAGGUGCCCAGUGCCGGAAGCCUUGCCCAGACUAAAGGGACACCAAGGAUGAGGGCUCUGAUGGUAAAGAGAUGGGCAUCCCCUUUAAAGGGCCAGAUCAACAGAGCCCUUAGGGAACAUGGACCCUUCUCCCCUGUUGAACCCUAAAUCUGUCCAGAGAAUAUGGCCAUCUCUCCAGACCACUGGGAUGGCAAAGAGGAGGAUUUGCCUCAACUAUCCAUCUCCAGACAGGUCUUUGCUGAACUGCUCAUGAUAAAGUCAUUCAUUUCAAAGCAAUUUUGUGGUGUCCUGCCUGGAAAGAGGCCAAUCUUUGGAGUCAGUGAAUUCUAAUCCCCCAAUUACCUUCUGAUAACUAUGUAGCCUUGGGCAAUUCAUCCAGCCUCUCUGGACCUCACUUUUCUCUUCCAUAAACUACUAAUGUAAUUCUAUUUUGCAGGUUAGUGAGGAUUUAAUGAGAUUGUGCAUGAAAACAGCCUAAUCCACUGCCUAGAAGCGGUCACACCCCCUUUCUGAGGGGUCCUGAGAGACUGAAGAUCCAUCCAAGCUCCAGAGCUCCAUCCAGGAUUAGGUGACGUUGGAUGAAAUGGAGGAUGCAUGGUGUUUGUGUGGAUUUUAGAGUAAGCGUUCUGGUCUUGGCCCAACUGCAAUUGUAGUUACAGUGACAACAGUCCUUCUGACAUUUCCUGAGGCCACCUGCACCUGCACUCCAGCUGGCUGACUUCACUACCUCCUCCUUAAUUGUUUCCGAUUGGAGAAGCAAUUGGAUCACAUACUUGAAGUGACCAGUGAAUAAAGGGUAGUAUGACUCAAGGUGCUCACACUUGAAGCUGACGAGGAGCAAAGCUGUCAUAUCAUGUUUCUCAUGUAAAUAAGGACGUUGGAUAAAUAUCACUGAACUCUUUUCUAAUACACCAUGUGCCGACUUGUGGAGCUUCUGCAGCAAAGCCAGGAAGCCCUGAACGUGCAUCGUUUCGAUACUUGCUGUUUAUUACUAAUAAGCAUUGUCAUUUACUGGACACCGAUGUUAGACGUAAUGACGGAGUGUGUACCCUUCUGCACUCUGCAUGUCCCACACAACAGAUAAUAGCAUCGAUGGAAGCCUUGCUAUGUGCCUGCUAUGUGCCGAGUACUGCCUGCCGCUGUUCGCUGUCCCUCAGCCCACCUGACAUUCUCACCUGUCAAUCAUCAACCACCACUACAUAAACGUGUUUAAGUCCCUGAGCAUUUCUUUGGCAUCACAUUGUGGGAAAACAGCUGGAUGAAGUUUCACCCAGUUUAAAGGCUAUUUGAGGAUGAUCUUACUUCACAUGAGCUACAUGACAUGGAAUUUUCACCAUGGGAAGCCUCAGGUGCCCUAUCUUUGUGAGUCAGCCUGAACCAUGGCUUUGUUACAAGGGGAUCUCAGAAGCAGGAAAGUCCAUCCGAGGUCUGAAGUUGAAAGAUCCAAUAAGGUGAGUGCUGUAGGUUUGACAGGUAGUAUUUCUCCCAUUUUUUAAAUGAUGAUAUUCAAGCCCAGGGAGACUAAGUAACUUGCUCACUGUCUUCCAGGCUGCAAGGCCUAAAGCCAAUAAUGACAAAUAAAUCUCUGGUGGUAGGUACUCUGUAGACAUUGUUAUCAGCAUCUUUUUUUUUCUUUCUAGUUUGAGAUAUCAUUAAUAUGUAACAUUGUAUUAAUCCAAGGCAUACAAAGUAAUUAUUUGAAAUCUCUCUAUAUUGUGAAAUGAUGACCACAAUAAGUUCGAUCACCUCACAUAGUUACAAUUUAUUUUUCCUUGUGACGAGAACUUUUAAGAUAUACU
Molecule: long non-coding RNA, 5620 nt
Organism: Felis catus (domestic cat)
Lineage: Eukaryota; Metazoa; Chordata; Mammalia; Carnivora; Felidae
Exons: 7
Source: RefSeq, a predicted model, not a curated record